GACGAACGCUGGCGGCGUGCUUAACACAUGCAAGUCGAGCGGAAAGGCCCUUCGGGGUACUCGAGCGGCGAACGGGUGAGUAACACGUGAGUAACCUGCCCCAGACUUUGGGAUAACCCUCGGAAACGGGGGCUAAUACCGGAUACGACACAGCUUCGCAUGGGGUCUGUGUGGAAAGUUUUUCGGUUUGGGAUGGGCUCGCGGCGUAUCAGCUUGUUGGUGGGGUGAUGGCCUACCAAGGCGACGACGGGUAGCCGGCCUGAGAGGGCGACCGGCCACACUGGGACUGAGACACGGCCCAGACUCCUACGGGAGGCAGCAGUGGGGAAUAUUGCACAAUGGGCGGAAGCCUGAUGCAGCGACGCCGCGUGAGGGAUGACGGCCUUCGGGUUGUAAACCUCUUUCAGCAGGGACGAAGCGUAAGUGACGGUACCUGCAGAAGAAGCGCCGGCCAACUACGUG
Molecule: ribosomal RNA, 462 nt
Filed under: uncultured bacterium
Lineage: Bacteria
Description: partial 16S ribosomal RNA
Rfam family: Bacterial small subunit ribosomal RNA
Source: RNAcentral